CCUACGGGAGGCAGCAGUGAGGAAUAUUGGUCAAUGGACGAGAGUCUGAACCAGCCAAGUAGCGUGAAGGAUGACUGCCCUAUGUGUUGUAAACUUCUUUUAUAUGGGAAUAAAACAGGGUAUGCAUACACUCUUGUAUGUACCAUAUGAAUAAGGAUCGGCUAACUACGUGCCAGCAGCCGCGGUCAUACGGAGGAUCCGAGCGUUAUCCGGAUUGAUGGGGUUUAAAGGGAGCGUAGGUGGAUUGUUAAGUCAGUUGUGAAAGUUUGCGGCGCAACAGUAAAAUUGCAGUUGAAAAUGGCAGUCUUGAGUACAGUAGAGGUGGGCGGAAUUCGUGGUGUAGCGGUGAAAUGCUUAGAUAUCACGAAGAACUCCGAUUGCGAAGGCAGCUCACUGGACUGCAACUGACACUGAUGCUCGAAAGUGUGGGUAGCAAACAGGAUUAGAUACCCCUGUAGUC
This 460-nucleotide ribosomal RNA is filed under the name uncultured bacterium. Its description in RNAcentral is "partial 16S ribosomal RNA". It matches the Rfam family "Bacterial small subunit ribosomal RNA", at positions 338 to 795 of the family's 1533-position model. The record is from RNAcentral.